AUGCCGCCACCUUUCGAUGCAUCAGAGUACAGUCAGCUCAUCUCUGCAGGGCCGUUGCUGCCGCUGCUAGAACAGUAUGCAGGCGUAGGUUCUUAUGACCAGAACACUCUUAGGGGGCCCCCGUGGCAAGUGCAGUCACAAGGCGCUAACGCUGACAAAUGUACGGGCAGCCAACUCCAACUAGCUAGUAUGGCUAAUCAAGAGCCUUCGUGCAGCACGUGGAAUCGGGCAGCACCCAUGUACCUGCCAUCGAUGUCGUACACAGAACCUACAACUACAAUGCACAGCAGCGCCGGCACAUCUACUGCGGGGAGCUCUGAGCGCACGGAAGACGCGUUCCACCAGACAGUAGACAAACAUGCCGCAAAAAAUUUCGAGUCAGAGUCUGGAAUGGCAAUCAUUCCAGCAAUGCCGGCAAGCACCCCUUUGAACACAAGCACUGGCAACUCUCAGGUAGAUGGGACUGCCACCCAUACUGAAGUGAAUGAUGAAACUGAUGACGACGCGCAAGGGGAUGAAGAUGGUGGGCAAUCAGAGAUCGUGGUGCCUCAUCCACCGUACAUUGGGCAGAGAUUUGAGUCAUUCGAAGCAGCAAAGGAAUACUACCAGACAUAUGCAAAGUUCCAUGGGUUUGCGGUCAACACCGAGUACCGUAGGAAAAUUAAGAAAACUAACGAGUACAGCAGAGGUGAGAUGAGGUGCCACAAGGCACGCAGGAACAAGAAGGGGAAAGGCGAUGCGCCUGUCGUUCCGGAACGAAAGAGAGGUAUCAUUCAGAAGACUGAGUGCCCUGUCCGGUAAGUUCGACCUGGUGAAAUUUAUGACCGCCAAAGAGGGUUCACCCCCAUCGAAAGGCAAUUCGUAAAGCUGCUACAUGAUUGUAACGUCGGUCCAUCAAGAAUGGUGCAGAUACUAUCUCUCAUCCGCAGCAAAAAGGGGACUCUGAGUAGCAUGCCGUACAUACCAGCUGACGUCACAAACCUACGGGCAAGGUACCGUAGAGAGAGCAAGUUGGCAGACAUAGAGGCCACAAUUGCCUACUUCGAUGAGAAAGCCAAAGAAGAUGCAGAUUUCUUCUACAGGAUAAGGUUGGACGAUGAGGACCGUGUCAGGAACAUGUAUUGGGUGGAUGGUGCUGCAAGGAGAGCCUACAAACAUUUCCGAGAUUGCAUUUCAUUCGACGCGACGUACCUCACCAACAUGUACAAGAUGCCGUGCGCUCCGUUCAUAGGUAUAAAUAACCACAAUCAGUCGUUGCAGUUCGGCUGCGGGCUCGUCCGGAAUGAAGACACGGAUGGGUACGUUUGGCUGUUCAAGACCUUCUUGGAGUGCAUGGAUGGACUUGCUCCGAUGAACAUAAUAACGGACCAGGAUUUCAGCAUGCGUGCAGGCAUAGAGGAGGUCUUUCCGUUGGCAGUGCACAGGCACUGUAGGUGGCACAUUAUAAAGAAGGCUGAGGAGACGCUAGGACCGUUCUUUGCUGACCGUCCAGAGCUGCACAAGGCAUUCGAACUGUGCAUGGACCAUAGCUUGACGGUGGAGGAGUUUGAAAGGAGCUGGAUGGCCAUGACUGAAACACAUCAAGUCCAAGACAACGAGACUCUUGUAAGCCUAUGGGAGAAGCGAAUGUACUGGGUGCCGGCCUACUUCAUGCAGUGCUUCUUCCCCUUUCUGCAGACUACGCAGCGCAGUGAGGGAUUCAAUGCUGUUUUGAAGCGGUACGUCAGUCCUGGCAACUCAUUGCUAUAG
RNAcentral lists this ribosomal RNA (1749 nucleotides) under Triticum aestivum (bread wheat). Its description in RNAcentral is "partial small subunit ribosomal RNA". The record is from RNAcentral. Lineage: Eukaryota; Viridiplantae; Streptophyta; Magnoliopsida; Poales; Poaceae.